AACGAACGCUGGCGGCAGGCCUAACACAUGCAAGUCGAACGCCCUAGCAAUAGGGAGUGGCAGACGGGUGAGUAACACGUGGGAACCUUCCCUAUAGUACGGAAUAUACCAGGGAAACUUGGAGCAAUACCGUAUACGCCCGAGAGGGGAAAGAUUUAUCGCUAUAGGAUGGGCCCGCGUAGGAUUAGCUAGUUGGUGAGGUAAUGGCUCACCAAGGCGACGAUCCUUAGCUGGUGAGAGAACGACCAGCCACACUGGGACUGAGACACGGCCCAGACUCCUACGGGAGGCAGCAGUGGGGAAUAUUGGACAAUGGGCGCAAGCCUGAUCCAGCCAUGCCGCGUGAGUGAUGAAGGCCUUAGGGUUGUAAAGCUCUUUUGCCGGGACGAUAAUGACGGUACCCGGAGAAUAAGUCCGCU
Molecule: ribosomal RNA, 419 nt
Filed under: uncultured bacterium
Lineage: Bacteria
Description: bacterial SSU rRNA
Rfam family: Bacterial small subunit ribosomal RNA
Source: RNAcentral